GAGGAUACGAUGAAUACAAUAUAAUAUAAUAUACACACAGAGAGUGAUUUAAGGAAAUAUGAAAAUGAGAUAAUAGCUUAUUUGACUCAAUUCAAGAAUUACCAAUAGUAUCAGAAGUACAAAGUUACACGUGAUAAUUAGUAUACGAACUAUAAUACUACAGGAUUAGAAUAGCACAGAAUUUUGUUACCAAGAAAUAAGUACAAAUUCUGUUUUUGUACAAUGGACAUUAAUCCUAUAUUGCGAACCACGUUAUUUCUCUAAAAAAUCACGUGCGAUGAAACAAUAAUGCAUAAUAUGGAUUAUUCACUCGGGAUCACUUUGAAGAGUCUCACCAUUGGUCAGAACUAAUGCAUCAUCGUCAGCGUCGUUAUAAUCCAGAGAAAGAACACUCUCUCUUCUUUUCUUUUUAUGCGUCCUUUCGUCAUCACUGCUCGGUGCACUUUUGUCCCUUUUUGUCCUUUCCCUACCCCUAGUCGCUCUAGUCAAUACUUCAUCCCCGUUAGUUUUGCCACUGUAUUUAUCAUAACUCUUAGUCCUCAAUGUUUUUUUGUUAUUUCGAUUUUCCUCGUGAUCUUCUUCCCUAUCACUUAACUCUUCAUUUUCGACUUUAAUUAUUAAAGCAGCCGAAUCGCUCGAACUUUCGUCAUUCUGAUCUGUUUGAUUUGUUUUUCUGUCUAUUCGAUCUACUCCUCUUUCAAUACUUGCGCGCUCACUUUGAAGUAGUUUAUUAUUAUCUAGUAACGGUGAAGUUCUCGUAGUUUUACACAUAUCACUUCCUUCUGUUAACAGUUUCGAGCUCUUUACUUCUAUAGCUAUAUUAUCCUCUGUUUUUUCUUUUUUGAUUGAAGAUGUAUGGGGUGAUAAUCCGUUAGUUAAAUUUGUUGAAUUAUUCUCACCGGCAGCGCCGGUUAUUUUCAAUACCGUAUUUUCUUGUUGCAAUAAAAUAACCGACUCUCGUGCCUUACGUAAUUCUUGUUGCAAGAAAUAAAUUGUACUUUGCAUACCCUCCACAUCUUCAUCUAGGUCUUGAAGAAAUUCAUCUAACUCUAUUUAAUAUAACACGUGAAUGUGAAAUCUUGUAAUCCAAAUAAUUGUUUCGUUUUUUCUUUUUUUAUUUUAUAAUUAUCUGAAAUAUUUUACAAAAUGUUUUAUAAUAUAUACAUACCUGAUUGAGAUUUUUUAACUUCUUCGCUGAAACUUUUUUGUAAUGCAAGUUCACCCUCUAAUUUAGCAAUUCUACCACUGGCUAUCAUUCGACCCAAUUCCUCAUUUUCUUGAUAUAAUAAUCUACACUUGGCCAUUAACCUCUUUCCAGUGUUACUGGAAAAGUAUACAUGCAAUUAAUCAUAUAUUCAAAUAGAUAAUAAAUCUUUUUCAAACAUUGCAAAAUCAUAAUUAUUUACCUAUCUGGUGUGAAUUUCCAUGCGCUUAAUUCACUCUGUGUAUCUUCUAAUUUAGCUUUUGUUGUGACCAAUUCUUGCCUUAAUUUUUGUAUCAAAAUAUUUACAGCUGGAUCUAACAAAGCGGACCUUAAUGAAGCAGCAGAUGGAACUUGGGCUGCUUUCAUUUCAGAUAUUUGAUUCUGUUGGAUAAUAAUAUAAUGUUCCUGUUCUUUAGAGGCUAGCCUCCUCACUAAGAUUUUUUCACGAUGAGAUGCUUCAAUAUGCUGCUGUCUGAACUUGUCUUCUGAUUCUCUCAACGAAGCUAAUUCACCUAUAAAAUGGUAUCGUGUCAACUUUUGCUAUGUAUAUUUGUUAGACAUUUACUACCCUCUCGUUAUAUGUUUGACAUAUAUAUAUUUUUACAUCUUCAGAGUAAUAAUGUUGCUGUUUAAUAAAUUAAAACAUAGUAAAUUGUACUCUUUACAUGCGAGAAUUAAAUUAUUAUGCAAAUUAAAAUACUAUCUUAUAUCCCCUAUAGUACAUUUUAUAUCUUUAAUCUCAAAUAUUAUAUUUGUUUCAGUAUUGGCUUCCUAGUUCUUUAUUCUGUGUUAUUUAAUUUAUUCAUAUGUGUGUGCGUGUUGAUAAUGAUUUUAAUAAAAAUGAAUGUAAGAUAUAAAAUUAUUUAAAUUGUA
Long non-coding RNA from Vespa velutina, 2077 nucleotides. RefSeq lists it as uncharacterized. The transcript is spliced from 2 exons. NCBI's taxonomy places the organism in Eukaryota, Metazoa, Arthropoda, Insecta, Hymenoptera, Vespidae. The record is from RefSeq and is a predicted model, not a curated record.